Molecule: long non-coding RNA, 635 nt
Filed under: Setaria viridis
Lineage: Eukaryota; Viridiplantae; Streptophyta; Magnoliopsida; Poales; Poaceae
Description: long non-coding RNA (SVIR_LNC010182)
Source: RNAcentral
GACGAAUAGCAACGCGGGCGUGAUCCUCGCGGCCAUCAUCGACGCCGCAGUAGCGGCCGCUAGGGGCGACUCCCUCCCCGCCGUGGCCGGAGCGUCCUCCGCCGGCGCCGAAGCCUCCUCCAAAACGCGCGAGAAUCCAUCCCCAUCGUCGCUGCCGCCCAAGAAGUAGUAGUGCCCACUAGUGUCUGGUCCCGCUCUCCUGCGCACGGAACCAGCCGCCCGCCCUCUUCACCCUGGCCGCGAGUGGAGGGAGGAUGAAGGAGAUAAGGUGAGGUAAAAAAAAAGAUGACAGGUGGGAUCUAUUGCUAACGGUGUUAAAAUGUCAUCCAUUCCAUCCCUCUCAACCCAUUCAACCAAACAAAAGAGGAAUCCAUCCCUUUUAUCCAAACACGAGAUCCAAACACGAGAUAGGUUGAACCUAACUCAUAAAAUCCAUCCCUUUUAUCUAAACACGAGAUAGGUUGAACCUAACCUAUAAAAGUAGGAUAAACCCGAUCCAGAAAAGUGGGAUAAACCAAACCCGUUCCACUCCAUCCAAAACAGCACUUGCUUAUUAAACGCGGGGGAAAGGACACGGCGCAAAUGCCAACAGACUGGGACCCGGGCCCGGGCCCGGGCCUAGCGUACACUGUGGC